UGGGGAAUUUUGGACAAUGGGCGCAAGCCUGAUCCAGCCAUGCCGCGUGCGGGAAGAAGGCCUUCGGGUUGUAAACCGCUUUUGUCAGGGAAGAAAUCUUCUGAGUUAAUACCUCGGGAGGAUGACGGUACCUGAAGAAUAAGCACCGGCUAACUACGUGCCAGCAGCCGCGGUAAUACGUAGGGUGCAAGCGUUAAUCGGAAUUACUGGGCGUAAAGCGUGCGCAGGCGGUUUUGUAAGACAGAGGUGAAAUCCCCGGGCUCAACCUGGGAACUGCCUUUGUGACUGCAAAGCUUGAGUGCGGCAGAGGGGGAUGGAAUUCCGCGUGUAGCAGUGAAAUGCGUAGAUAUGCGGAGGAACACCGAUGGCGAAGGCAAUCCCCUGGGCCUGCACUGACGCUCAUGCACGAAAAGCGUGGGGAGCAAAACAGGAUUAGAUACCCUGGUAGUCCACGCCCUAAAACGAUGUCAACUGGUUGUUGGGAAGGUUCCUUCUCAGUAACGUAGCUAACGCGUGAAAGUUGACCGCCUGGGGAGUACGGCCGCAAGGUUGAAAACUCAAAUGAAUUGACGGGGUCAUAGCUGUUUCC
RNAcentral lists this ribosomal RNA (589 nucleotides) under uncultured bacterium. RNAcentral describes it as "partial 16S ribosomal RNA". It matches the Rfam family "Bacterial small subunit ribosomal RNA", at positions 355 to 937 of the family's 1533-position model. The record is from RNAcentral.